UAUACCAGUCCCUCCAGAAAAACGCGAUUAUGCGAUCGCUGAAUUCAAUGCAUAAUCAGCCAAAGUCUGCAUAUUUAUGCGGGGGUCGCAUUUUUUCAAAUACUCCGCAAUUUCGCCGCAUAAAUUGCUGAUUUCCGCGCAAAAUAUGCGGGGCUUGCAUGAUUUCAUAAUCCCCGCAUUUUCGUCGCAAAAAAGUCACAUAUAUCUUAGCAGAAAGUUGGAAAACGUUGCGUUUGCUUCACACAAGAGCAGCCGUUUCCCCCUGUUGCCAUGGGAACGUUAUGAAGUGACGCAAUUACGCGACGCCAGACAGACUCACGGAGGCGAUUGGCAUCUCACAACUCGCACUUUAUUCCCAAAUCGAACUCGUAUAACUGUCUGUCACACGUUCUACCGUCCACAUCGUUACUUAA
This is a long non-coding RNA of Rhinichthys klamathensis goyatoka, 413 nucleotides long. RefSeq lists it as uncharacterized. The record is from RefSeq and is a predicted model, not a curated record. The transcript has 2 exons. NCBI's taxonomy places the organism in Eukaryota, Metazoa, Chordata, Actinopteri, Cypriniformes, Leuciscidae.